Molecule: long non-coding RNA, 591 nt
Organism: Rana temporaria (common frog)
Lineage: Eukaryota; Metazoa; Chordata; Amphibia; Anura; Ranidae
Exons: 3
Source: RefSeq, a predicted model, not a curated record
UCCUGAAACAUAGGAUAAUCUGGGUAGUUUGUCUCCUUGUGGCUGAACUUUUGUUCUCUGGCACAUGCAUACCCUCUCCUAUAUGGAUUUCCAUAUCUGGCGUGGACCUUUUUGGUAGGCUAUGAUUGUAUAUCCUCCCCGUGAACACAGAGACAUUGAUCUCCAUAUACAGCAUUCUCCCCUUGUUUUUGGCGUACUUUCACACUGAGACAGGAUUCUAUCUACAGAUCUUAUUGACUACAUGUAUUUCUCUGACACAAUGAUCGUCUGUAAUACCCCUUGAAGAAGGAUCACAGAUACCGAAACGGCUGUCGGGUUGGACCAAUUUUUGUCUCAUGUCUGUUUUAUUGCUUUACAAAUAGGAUCUGUAUACCACUUGCAUGUGGUCUUUUAUCCUUGCUAGGACACUGUAUGAUGUCCUGACUUAAAUUGUUUAAAUAAAUUUGCUAUAUAUUUUUCUACUCAUUCACGUGUUUGUGUCACUUAUAAAGUCCCACCCUUGAGGGGGUAUUUCAUGUUUUUUCCAUAACUCUAGGGAUGUGGUGACUUACAAACACUGACAUUCUCCUGAUUGUGGGGUCCCUCUUUUUC